This 469-nucleotide ribosomal RNA is filed under the name uncultured bacterium. Its description in RNAcentral is "partial 16S ribosomal RNA". It matches the Rfam family "Bacterial small subunit ribosomal RNA", at positions 28 to 508 of the family's 1533-position model. The record is from RNAcentral.
GACGAACGCUGGCGGCGCGCCUAACACAUGCAAGUCGAACGGAGCUGAGAGAAGCUUGCUUUUCUUAGCUUAGUGGCGAACGGGUGAGUAACGCGUGAGUAACCUGCCCUGGAGUGGGGGACAACAGUUGGAAACGACUGCUAAUACCGCAUAAGCCCACGAUCCGGCAUCGGAUUGAGGGAAAAGGAUUUAUUCGCUUCAGGAUGGACUCGCGUCCAAUUAGCUAGUUGGUGAGGUAACGGCCCACCAAGGCGACGAUUGGUAGCCGGACUGAGAGGUUGAACGGCCACAUUGGGACUGAGACACGGCCCAGACUCCUACGGGAGGCAGCAGUGGGGGAUAUUGCACAAUGGGGGAAACCCUGAUGCAGCGACGCCGCGUGGAGGAAGAAGGUUUUCGGAUUGGAAACUCCUGUCGUUAGGGACGAUAAUGACGGUACCUAACAAGAAAGCACCGGCUAACUACGGGC